AUGUAAUUGCCGCCACGGAACGAGAAUCGGUAAAUUUCGAUAUCAUUCGUGUGUUCGUUUCGUUCCAAAUUUAGAAAAUUGAUCAGUUCGAUUCUGGCAUUCGUAUAAGUGUUUAUUAAGAAUGGGAAAAUUGAAACUCGGAUUGAAUCAUAGAAUAUUUCGCAUCGGAGUUCUUUUCUUUGCGAUGUGUUGAAAUUGUGUUGUGAAUAAUUGUCGAACUUGUACGAACAUUUUGGAUAUUGAUUAUAGAAUUCGAAGAAUUCGAGAAAUUUGAGCUCGGCCAGCCUCUCAACCCUUUUGGGCGGCGAAAGGAGGAAGGAAAGGCGAGAAGGGGACGACGGAGAGAAAAAGAAGCCCGUAGGAGUCAUAGAGGAACGCGACACAGCCCAUUUCCUCGCUCGAGGGCUCGUCCCCCGUAAAAAAUAAUACUUCUCGUCUCCGCUCAUUUGCCUCCUGUUAAACCCGCGCCACUCUCACCUUGACACCCGCUGCCAACUCGUAGAUUACGAAUUAGAGACGUCAACUGUAAACUUAGCUGUAAACGCUCCACAUCGAGGGGGUCUCGACGCAAUCACCUCCUUGAUGAGAUCCGGUAAUUGGCAUCGGUUUUUAUAUUAUUUUUUGAUUAAAAAAAUUUUAUUACAAAUGUUUCAUUAAAAAAAUUGUGAGUAGAAUAUUAUAUUAAGAAGAUUAGUUUUUAAAAAAUUUUUUUUUUCGUGUAGUAUGUACAGAAUUUUAUUUUUUAUUUUACAAAUUUUUUGAUAAAAUUUUUAUGUUCUAUAUACUUAGAUAUAAUAUACUUUAGUAGCUUUUUUUUUAAUGAAACAAAUAUAUUCUUAAUGCAAAUAUUAGUUAAUAAAUGAAUAUUAGAUUGUGUUUAUUAUAAGCACAUUUCGUAUCAAGAUAUAUUCCUUAACUUAACGCCUUUUUGAUUUUCCUUCGUUUUCUUCGAAUCUUAUUCGAUUCAUUGUCAAUCACAAUAGUCAAAGUUGUUGGAUUCUAUUUCCAAUGAUUAAUUAAAGGUUUUUAAUCGAUUAAUACUUUUAAGUAUUCGAUUAGAAUUAGAUCUUGUAGAUGACGUCGUUUUAGUAAUUCGGUCAAAGAUUUUUUCUGUAUUAAUGUCGUUGGAACACGAGGCGUUUUUUGUUAGGUCAUUAUAAUCUAGUGAAUUAGUAAUUAAUCUAAUGAAUAUUAA
Long non-coding RNA from Apis cerana (Asiatic honeybee), 1195 nucleotides. RefSeq lists it as uncharacterized. The record is from RefSeq and is a predicted model, not a curated record. NCBI's taxonomy places the organism in Eukaryota, Metazoa, Arthropoda, Insecta, Hymenoptera, Apidae.